Ailuropoda melanoleuca (giant panda) is the source of this 4635-nucleotide long non-coding RNA. RefSeq lists it as uncharacterized. Lineage: Eukaryota; Metazoa; Chordata; Mammalia; Carnivora; Ursidae. The record is from RefSeq and is a predicted model, not a curated record. The transcript is spliced from 4 exons.
GAAGAAGCAGGCUCCCAGCUGAUGAGCCUGAUGCGGGACUCAAUCCCAGAACGCCGGGAUCACGCCCUGAGCCGAAGGCAGACGCUUAAUGACUGAGCCACCCAGGCGCCCCUGUAAUUGACAACUUUUGAGUCAAGUGGUGCGGCACCAGACCUUCCCUCUUCUGGCUUCCGGACUCCAUCUCAGUGAGGUUUUCCCUUUAUCAAUAUUCACAUUUCCUUCUCUUUGAUCAGGAUCUUUCUCUGAAAACAUUGCUGAUCGAGAGUCAGAUUUUCUUAAAUUCAUUGGCCUUUUGUCCCUUGGUGCCAGGAAGGACCUUUCCUGGGUGUCAUGUGUCACGUUGGAGAGAAAUUGUACCUAUUGGAAGCCUACUAAGAUCAUGUUUGAGUAACAAGGAGCAGGGCACAGGAGAAUUCUCAGGCACUUCCCAUCUGUAGUCCAUACUUACCAAGAUCAUAAGCAGUGGAGAUCAUCUCCUCCUUGGGUACAUCGUUUUUACAAAGGUUUGACAGCCAACAAGUACAGAAUCAAAAGUCACAGGACAAAUCCAAACUGCACGAUGAUCCUAAGAUUUCAGAGCCCUGAGCCCUAGGUCUGAACGCAGACAACUGAAAAUAUUUGUUGGCCCUUAUUCCGACUUAGGGGAGAAAAGUUCCCCUUGUAGAGGCAAACUUGGCACCACGUGUGCCCCCUGGAAAGUCCGCACUUAUUCAGCCACGAAAGCAGAAUAAUGUAUACUGCACGAGCGUCCUUACUUGCAAUUAACCAAGUGCGCUGGAGACAAUGGAAUGCAGGUGUAAAUGUGAAGCAAUAGCUGAUGAAUUUUUUACAAAACAGCAAAACUUCAAAGACAUUUUAGAACAAUAUUGUUAUCUUAAACUGGAACGGAAUGUAUUAUCAGGAUACAGUCUAAUAAAGAAUCCAUUCAAUGGUCCAGAUGAAAAAGAGAAACUUCUGUGAAUCUGAAACCUUCUAACAGGCCUGGUCUGGAUAUCUUGGCAAAGUGGUCUUGUCAGAUGUCGCCUGCUUCAAUUCCAGGUCACCAGAGGCUGUGCAGGUCCAGUGAGGUUUGGUGCUUUCUUUACAUGUUACGUGAAUCCAAGAGUCUGUUCCCUGGAGUUCGGUGGCACAAGGGCUGGUUAGUAGUACCGGAGAAGGACCUUUCCAGCAAGGUUGAAGAGUCUUUCUGGAGGUGUCUUUUCCAACAGACGCAAUCUCCAGGUUGCAAGGCAUGAUGUUUACAAUCUUCAUCUCCUGGGAGAGCGCGGUGAAAUGACUGCACCAAAGCAUGUGAGGAGUGGACAUAGUUUCCGAUUCCAUCUUGGUCCUUUGAACUAAAAGACAGAGAUCCCAGUUCAGCGCCUUAAUGAACACGGAGGCUGCUCCCUUCGGGCAAGUUUCCUGCCCUAGUGUCUGGCCGGGCCCUCAGCAACAAGCCCUGGAUGGAUUCAUCUAAAUCCGAGAAAUCAGGCUGAGAACAAAUGAAAACAACGAGCUGCACGGUGCCCGGGCCCCGGAAAAAGCCUCACUCCGGGCGGCAGGGGUAUCGGCUCCGGGGGCAGCCGUGCCCAGUGUCCCCCAGGACCAGGAGCAGCCAGGUGGUGGCUCGUCCGUGCCAGGUGAGCAAAGGAGCCUCAUCAGGUCAGCGGGGCCGGACGGCGCAGACGCCGGGUGGAGACGGAGAACACACGGCGGUUCCACUGGAUCUGUGGGAAGUUCCAAAGCAGGCAGAGCUGAGAAAUACCGGUGCAAGGGCGCCCUGGGCCAUGAAACCAUGGGAAAGAGCGAAGGGACGGUUAAGCCGAGGGCCGCUGAGGUCCUGGGCGUGUUCUGAUUCGUAGGUGGGCUGUGACAGCGAUUUUGUUACUGCUUUUUAAAACUUUACAGAUACAUUCUCUGUAUACUUGUCACGGUCCUUAUAGUUUACAGUUAGAACAGAGGGAGUAUGUCAGCAGUGGCUCUUCUGGGUGAAGUAUGAGGGCUGCAUUUUGUUCUCCUGUUUGGUUUUCUGUACUUUCUACAUUAUUUGACUGAGCUGUUGUUAUUUUUAAACUAAAGGCCAAAAUGAAUUAACUGUAUUUUAAAAGGAACUCAGAAAACAAAUAAGGCGAUUGUCCGUCCUGUUCAGCUGAGCUCAUCACACUCGAUGGCCUCCACCUGGGCCUGAAGUUCGGGGGCCCCAGAGGCACCCCAAACUUUUGUGCCAGGAUGGCCCCGAGUUAGGAGAGAAAUAUCUCCCCAGGCCUGAUCUCUCCUCCCAAGAUUAGCCCCUCCAGGUCCUUUGGCUGACUCCCAAACCUUUGAUGGCACAACACCGAAAGUGAGCCCUACUGUUGACUGCCGGCUUUGGGUAAGAAGGCCGUGUCAGUGUAGGCCCAUCACCCCUCGGGGGCGGGGGGGACGGAUCACAGUGGAGGCCGUGCAUGUGGGAGGAGGGACGGGGCACAUGGGAAAUGUCUGCACCUUCCUCUCAGUUCUGCUGUGAGCCUAAAACUGCUCUAAAAAAGUCAAGUGUUUGAAAACAAUCAGCUGGCCACAGGUGCAGGGUUCCUUCCAGACUCUCACUUCCAUUGCAUCGAUCCUUGCACCAGUGCUGUGUGGUUUUGGUUCCUGUAGCUUUUAGUAAACUUUGAGAUUGGAAAGUGUGGGCCCUCCAGCUUUGUUCUUCUUUUUCAAGAUUUUUUUUUUUCCUCUUCAGGCUCCUUGUAUUUCUGUAUGAUUUCAGGAUCAGGUUUUCCAUUUCCAUAGUGGAAGAGGCCACUGGGAUUUGGGUCGGGUUUUUUGUUUGUUUGUUUUUUUAAGACUUUUAUUUAUUUAUUUGACAGAGAGAGAACAAAUAGGGGGAGUGGCAGGCAGAGGGAGAGGGAGAAGCAGGCUCCUCACUGCUGGAAGCCUGAUGUGGGGCUUGAUCCCAGGACCCUGAGAUCACGACAUGAGUUGAAGGCAGAUGCUUAACCGGCUGAGCCACCCAGGUGCCCCUUGGGUGGGGUUGUUAAACCCGCAGAGCAGUUUGGGAAGUUUUGCCAUCUUGACAAUAGCAAGUCGCCAAUCCAUGAACAGAUGGGAUGGGAUGUCUUUACAUUUAUUUAGGUCUUUUCAAAUUUCUUUCAGCAACGUUUCAUAGUUUUUGGUGUACAAACCUCACACCUGCUUGGUUAAAUGUAUUCCUAAAUAUUUUAUUCUUUCUGAUAUUAUUGUAAAUGUCUUAAUUUCCUUUUUGAGAUUGCUCGUUGCUAGUGCAUAGAAAUACAAAUGAUUGGGGUGCCUGGGUGGCCGAGUCGGUUAAGCAGCCGACUCUUGGUUUUGGCUCAGGUCGUGAUCUCGGCUUAGGGUUUUUUUUUAUUCAUCCCAAAGUAUUUUCGAUAUCACCUGUGAUUUGUUUCUUCGACCCAUUGAUGGUUUAGGAGUGUGCUGCUUACUUCCCACGUAUCUGUGAAUUCACAAAAUGCCCUUGUAUUAUUUAUUUCUAGUUUUAGUCCCAGGAAGUCAGAGAAGAUACUUUGUAUUAUUUUAAUCCUUAUAAGUUAAUGAGAUUUAUUUAAGAGCUUAACAAACAGUCUAUUUUGGAGAAUGUUCCGUGUGCACUUGAGAAAAAAUGAAUGUUCUAUUGUUGGAUGGAGUGUUCUGUAGAUUUUUGUUAGGGUUGUAGCUAUUAGAUGUGUUUUAUAAUGUUAUGUAAGCUCUCUCUUUUUUUAAGCGAGAAAGGGGAAGAGGGGCAGAGAGAAUCUUAAGCAGGCUCCACGCCCAGCACGUAGCCCGACAUGGGGCUCCAUCUAACGACCUGAGAUCAUGACCUGAGCCGAUAUCAAGAGUUAAAUGCUUAACCAGCCAAGCCACCCAGGCACCGCUCCUCUACGUUCUUACUGAUCCUCUGUCUAGAUGUUCUGUCCGUUAUUGCGAGUGGAGCAUAGAACUCUCCAACUCUGCUUGUACAAUUGUCUGUUUCUCCGUGCAGCUCUCUCAGUUCUUGCUUCAUAGAUUUGGGGUCCCUGCAGUUGGAUGCAUGUAUGUUAAUUGUUCUAUUUCCUGUGGAUUGAUCCUUUUAUCCAUAUAUAAUAUUUUUCUUUGUCUCUUGUAAUAAUUUUUGUCCCAAAGUCUAUUUUGUUUGGUACUAGUAUAUGGUCUCAGUCACUUCNACCUGCUCAAGGUCAUGCACUUGGGAAGUGGUGGAGUCAGGACUAGAACCCAGGUCUGUCCAGGCUCCAAGCUCAGGCUCUUCCUGCAAGCUGUGAUCCAGCUCUGGGGGGAGUCAGCUCAAUGACCUGCAAGGUCCUUCCACACCUAGAGUGCACCUGGGAAGCCUUCUAGAGUUCUGAAAGCACCUUCAUGCCUGUCUGUCCUUUCAGUUGACUUCCCAACAGCUGAGCUGGUGAGGUGGGCAGGGCAGGUACUGACCCACAUCUCGGUUGCCUGUGAGGGGACAAGGCUUAGAGACAUUGAGGUAAUGACAGCCCCAAGGUCACAUUCGAGUCAGCAUCACCAUCAGAACCCAAGUGUUGGGUUCAGUCGCUGCUUUGCACAGAGCUGCCAGGCGCCAAGGGUCUGUGUUUCUCACGGUUAGGAUCCACCCACCCACCCACCUGUCCAUCGUUCACACAUACCAACCUCUCCGUGACCCACCAAUCCACCCGCUCA